CCUACGGGAGGCAGCAGUGAGGAAUAUUGGUCAAUGGGCGAGAGCCUGAACCAGCCAAGUCGCGUGAAGGAUGAAGGAUCUAUGGUUUGUAAACUUCUUUUAUAUGGGAAUAAAGUGAGGAACGUGUUCCUUUUUGUAUGUACCAUAUGAAUAAGCAUCGGCUAACUCCGUGCCAGCAGCCGCGGUAAUACGGAGGAUGCGAGCGUUAUCCGGAUUUAUUGGGUUUAAAGGGUGCGUAGGUGGUUAAUUAAGUCAGCGGUGAAAGUAUGAGGCUGAACCAUAAAAUUGCCGUUGAAACUGGUUGACUUGAGUGUAUUUGAGGUAGGCGGAAGGCGUGGUGUAGCGGUGAAAUGCAUAGAGAUCACGCAGAACUCCGAUUGCGAAGGCAGCUUACUAAACUAUAACUGACGCUCAUGCACGAAAGUGUGGGUAUCGAACAGGAUUAGAUACCCUUGUAGUC
Molecule: ribosomal RNA, 460 nt
Filed under: uncultured bacterium
Lineage: Bacteria
Description: partial 16S ribosomal RNA
Rfam family: Bacterial small subunit ribosomal RNA
Source: RNAcentral